UACGUAGGGUGCGAGCGUUAAUCGGAAUUACUGGGCGUAAAGCGUGCGCAGGCGGUUUUGUAAGCCAGAUGUGAAAUCCCCGGGCUUAACCUGGGAAUGGCAUUUGGGACUGCAAGGCUUGAGUGCGGCAGAGGAGACUGGAAUUCCUGGUGUAGCGGUGAAAUGCGCAGAUAUCAGGAAGAACACCCGUGGCUAAGGCGGCUCUCUAGUACGGUACUGACGCUGAGACGCGAAAGCGUGGGGAGCGAACAGG
Molecule: ribosomal RNA, 253 nt
Filed under: uncultured bacterium
Lineage: Bacteria
Description: partial 16S ribosomal RNA
Rfam family: Bacterial small subunit ribosomal RNA
Source: RNAcentral